GCGGCCGUAGUCUAGCCUGGUCUAAGACCUUGGCCCUCCAAGCCAAAGACCCGGGUUCAAAUCCCGGCGGCCGCACCA
Molecule: transfer RNA, 78 nt
Filed under: Candidatus Bathyarchaeota archaeon
Lineage: Archaea; Thermoproteati; Candidatus Bathyarchaeota
Also listed under: 2 other names
Description: tRNA-Gly
Rfam family: tRNA
About the family: Transfer RNA (tRNA) molecules are approximately 80 nucleotides in length.
Source: RNAcentral